CAGUCGCCGCGGUAAUACGUAGGGUGCAAGCGUUAUCCGGAAUUAUUGGGCGUAAAGAGAUCGUAGGCGGUCUGUCGCGUCUGCUGUGAAAACUGGGGGCUCAACCCCCAGCCUGCAGUGGGUACGGGCAGACUAGAGUGCGGUAGGGGAGAUUGGAAUUCCUGGUGUAGCGGUGGAAUGCGCAGAUAUCAGGAGGAACACCGAUGGCGAAGGCAGAUCUCUGGGCCGUAACUGACGCUGAGGAGCGAAAGCAUGGGGAGCGAACAGGAUUAGAUACCCGUGUAGUCCCUGUCUCUUAUAC
This 301-nucleotide ribosomal RNA is filed under the name uncultured bacterium. RNAcentral describes it as "partial 16S ribosomal RNA". It matches the Rfam family "Bacterial small subunit ribosomal RNA", at positions 509 to 807 of the family's 1533-position model. The record is from RNAcentral.